GACGAACGCUGUCGGCGUGCUUAACACAUGCAAGUCGAACGGAAAGGCCCUGCUUUUGUGGGGUGCUCGAGUGGCGAACGGGUGAGUAACACGUGAGUAACCUGCCCUUGACUUUGGGAUAACUUCAGGAAACUGGGGCUAAUACCGGAUAGGAGCUCCUGCUGCAUGGUGGGGGUUGGAAAGUUUCGGCGGUUGGGGAUGGACUCGCGGCUUAUCAGCUUGUUGGUGGGGUAGUGGCUUACCAAGGCUUUGACGGGUAGCCGGCCUGAGAGGGUGACCGGCCACAUUGGGACUGAGAUACGGCCCAGACUCCUACGGGAGGCAGCAGUGGGGAAUAUUGCACAAUGGGCGGAAGCCUGAUGCAGCAACGCCGCGUGCGGGAUGACGGCCUUCGGGUUGUAAACCGCUUUCGCCUGUGACGAAGCGUGAGUGACGGUAAUGGGUAAAGAAGCACCGGCUAACUACGUGCCAGCAGCCGCGGUGAUACGUAGGGUGCGAGCGUUGUCCGGAUUUAUUGGGCGUAAAGGGCUCGUAGGUGGUUGAUCGCGUCGGAAGUGUAAUCUUGGGGCUUAACCCUGAGCGUGCUUUCGAUACGGGUUGACUUGAGGAAGGUAGGGGAGAAUGGAAUUCCUGGUGGAGCGGUGGAAUGCGCAGAUAUCAGGAGGAACACCAGUGGCGAAGGCGGUUCUCUGGGCCUUUCCUGACGCUGAGGAGCGAAAGCGUGGGGAGCGAACAGGCUUAGAUACCCUGGUAGUCCACGCUGUAAACGGUGGGUACUAGGUGUGGGGUCCAUUCCACGGGUUCCGUGCCGUAGCUAACGCUUUAAGUACCCCGCCUGGGGAGUACGGCCGCAAGGCUAAAACUCAAAGGAAUUGACGGGGCCCCGCACAAGCGGCGGAGCAUGCGGAUUAAUUCGAUGCAACGCGUAGAACCUUACCUGGGUUUGACAUGGAUCGGGAGUGCUCAGAGAUGGGUGUGCCUCUUUUGGGGUCGGUUCACAGGUGGUGCAUGGCUGUCGUCAGCUCGUGUCGUGAGAUGUUGGGUUAAGUCCCGCAACGAGCGCAACCCUUGUUCACUGUUGCCAGCACGUUAUGGUGGGGACUCAGUGGAGACCGCCGGGGUCAACUCGGAGGAAGGUGGGGAUGACGCCAAGUCAUCAUGCCCCUUAUGUCCAGGGCUUCACGCAUGCUACAAUGGCUGGUACAGAGAGUGGCGAGCCUGUGAGGGUGAGCGAAUCUCGGAAAGCCGGUCUCAGUUCGGAUUGGGGUCUGCAACUCGACCUCAUGAAGUCGGAGUCGCUAGUAAUCGCAGAUCAGCAACGCUGCGGUGAAUACGUUCCCGGG
RNAcentral lists this ribosomal RNA (1343 nucleotides) under uncultured bacterium. Its description in RNAcentral is "16S ribosomal RNA". It matches the Rfam family "Bacterial small subunit ribosomal RNA", at positions 28 to 1378 of the family's 1533-position model. The record is from RNAcentral.